UUGGUUUCGGAUGAGCCCGCGUUGGAUUAGCUUGUUGGUAGGGUAAUGGCCUACCAAGGCGACGAUCCAUAGCUGGUCUGAGAGGAUGAUCAGCCACACUGGGACUGAGACACGGCCCAGACUCCUACGGGAGGCAGCAGUGGGGAAUAUUGGACAAUGGGCGCAAGCCUGAUCCAGCCAUGCCGCGUGAGUGAUGAAGGCCUUAGGGUUGUAAAGCUCUUUCACCGGUGAAGAUAAUGACGGUAACCGGAGAAGAAGCCCCGGCUAACUUCGUGCCAGCAGCCGCGGUAAUACGAAGGGGGCUAGCGUUGUUCGGAUUUACUGGGCGUAAAGCGCACGCAGGCGGAUAUUUAAGUCAGAGGUGAAAUCCCGGGGCUCAACCCUGGAAUUGCCUUUGAUACUGGGUAUCUGGAGUACAGAAGAGGUAAGUGGAAUUCCGAGUGUAGAGGUGAAAUUCGUAGAUAUUCGGAGGAACACCAGUGGCGAAGGCGGCUUAC
RNAcentral lists this ribosomal RNA (497 nucleotides) under uncultured Hyphomicrobiales bacterium. Its description in RNAcentral is "bacterial SSU rRNA". It matches the Rfam family "Bacterial small subunit ribosomal RNA", at positions 215 to 729 of the family's 1533-position model. Lineage: Bacteria; Pseudomonadati; Pseudomonadota; Alphaproteobacteria; Hyphomicrobiales. The record is from RNAcentral.